CUUCAACGGAGAGUUUGAUCCUGGCUCAGGAUGAACGCUGGCGGCGUGCUUAACACAUGCAAGUCGAACGAUGAACCUC
Molecule: ribosomal RNA, 79 nt
Filed under: Arthrobacter sp. Soil764
Lineage: Bacteria; Bacillati; Actinomycetota; Actinomycetes; Micrococcales; Micrococcaceae
Description: partial 16S ribosomal RNA
Rfam family: Bacterial small subunit ribosomal RNA
Source: RNAcentral